This 344-nucleotide long non-coding RNA is filed under the name Citrus maxima (pomelo). RNAcentral describes it as "long non-coding RNA (CMAX_LNC003755)". The record is from RNAcentral. Lineage: Eukaryota; Viridiplantae; Streptophyta; Magnoliopsida; Sapindales; Rutaceae.
AAAAUAUCUUAAAACUGAAAAACGACUAUAAAAGAAGUGAAAUUUUUAGCUUAAUCGCAGGGCAUAACAGCCUAGGUUGUUCUGCAUUUGGUUCGACUCAUCGCAAGCUUGGAAACUCUAUUAUAUGUCCAAAACGAAUACUCGUAGCCCAAUUUCUAACCUCGGAAGAUACCCUGCUUAUUCCAUGCAACCAUCUUAUAUCAACUUGCCUUCUCUGCAUCUUCAAGCACAGCUUGAACGGCUUGAAGAUUUAUGGUAAGUCACAAGCAGCAAAGGAGUUCAGCUGCUCCGGGAGAGGGGAAGCGAUCACAUCCAUUCUGGCAAAGAAAAGGAGAAAUAAUUUC